CCUACGGGUGGCUGCAGUGGGGAAUAUUGGACAAUGGGGGCAACCCUGAUCCAGCCAUGCCGCGUGUGUGAAGAAGGCCCUCGGGUUGUAAAGCACUUUCAGUGAGGAAGAACGCCUGGUGGUUAAUACCCAUCAGGAAAGACAUCACUCACAGAAGAAGCACCGGCUAACUCCGUGCCAGCAGCCGCGGUAAUACGGAGGGUGCGAGCGUUAAUCGGAAUUACUGGGCGUAAAGCGCGCGUAGGUGGCUUGAUAAGCCGGUUGUGAAAGCCCCGAGCUCAACCUGGGAACGGCAUCCGGAACUGUCAAGCUAGAGUGCAGGAGAGGAAGGUAGAAUUCCCGGUGUAGCGGUGAAAUGCGUAGAGAUCGGGAGGAAUACCAGUGGCGAAGGCGGCCUUCUGGACUGACACUGACACUGAGGUGCGAAAGCGUGGGUAGCAAACAGGAUUAGAUACCCCGGUAGUC
This 465-nucleotide ribosomal RNA is filed under the name Vreelandella stevensii. RNAcentral's name for it is "partial 16S ribosomal RNA". It matches the Rfam family "Bacterial small subunit ribosomal RNA", at positions 338 to 795 of the family's 1533-position model. The record is from RNAcentral. Lineage: Bacteria; Pseudomonadati; Pseudomonadota; Gammaproteobacteria; Oceanospirillales; Halomonadaceae.